This 433-nucleotide ribosomal RNA is filed under the name uncultured bacterium. RNAcentral describes it as "partial 16S ribosomal RNA". It matches the Rfam family "Bacterial small subunit ribosomal RNA", at positions 29 to 507 of the family's 1533-position model. The record is from RNAcentral.
AACGAACGCUGGCGGCAUGCCUAACACAUGCAAGUCGAACGAGACCUUCGGGUCUAGUGGCGCACGGGUGCGUAACGCGUGGGAACCUGCCCUUAGGUUCGGAAUCACUCCCUGAAAGGGGUGCUAAUACCGGUUAAGGUCUUCGGACCAAAGAUUUAUCGCCUUUGGAUGGGCCCGCGUUGGAUUAGCUGGUUGGUAGGGGAAAAGCAUACCAAGGCGACGAUCCAUGGCUGGUCGGAGAGGAUGAUAAGCUACACUGGGACUGAGACACGGCCCAGACCGCUACGGGAGGGAGCAGUGGGGAAUAUUGGGCGAUGGGCGAAAGCCUGAUCCAGCAAUGCCGCGUGAGUGAUGAAGGCCUUAGGGUUGUAAAGCUCUUUUACCCGGGAUGAUAAUGACAGUAACGGGAGAAUAAGCUCCGGCUAACUCCGUG